UCUUUCCCUUCCCUUUUCUUCUUUCUCCUUUUUCCCUCCACAGCUUUCACGUUACAUUCCAUCAUUCCUUUCGUUCCCUUUCCUCUCUUCUUCUCUCAUAUGCUCUACUCCAUCCUAAUCUUUCCUCCUCCUCCUCCUCCUCCUCCGUCAUUACUUUCAUAUGUUACACAAACAGAGGCGGCAAACCCCAACCCGCCAUCCCUUUCUCUUUUCCCCUCGCUCGGUAGUCUUUUCCACUUUUUACAAUCACCUCGCCCUCUACGGUUUCUAUCAACGCGCUGGCCAACGUGAAACGAGACACUUCAUAGAUAAACAGGUUCCUCUCCUCUCUCGCUGCUUCCCGAAAUUGCUCAACCGCACCGCUGUUCGUACAUGUUACUUUGUUUUAUUUUCCUUUUCUUCCCCCGACAAUUUGCGGACGAUAAGGUGAGGCCAAGAUUGGUGUUAUUCUCUGACGCUCCCGAGUCUCACGUCAAUUAUCCCCAAAGGCCCAAAAGGAGAUCAGUCGGGUUCUAAUGAGUGUUAUUUUAGGUUCACGGUACAGAAGGAGGGUCAGACUACCACCAGGGUCAUAAAACUAGCCCUGGAAAUGACCCAUACUCCGCCGAAAGCCUUGUCAAUCAUGCUACUACAUUCAAAGGAGAUUAGUCGAGUUCUUAUGAGUGUUAUUUUAGGUUCACGGUACAGAAGAAGGGUCAGACUACCAACAGGGUCAUAAAACUACCCCUGGAAAUGCAUAAAACACAGCCGAAAGCCUUGUCAAAUAUGUGAGCUUGGGCGCCGAAAGCCUUGUCCGACUCUCAUAUCAACUACAUUCAAUUAAAGGAGAUCAGUCGAGUUCUUAUGAGUGUUAUUUUAGGUUCACGGUACAGAAGAAGGGUCAGACUACCAACAGGGUCAUAAAACUACCCCUGGAAAUGCACAAAACUCCGCCGAAAGCCUUAUCAAAUAAUGUACACUCGGACGCCGCAAUGUUUGAGAGUAGCAAUGACCCGAGGAAUUCUUUACGCAGCGGGAAAGACAACCGACUCAGAUGUUGGUCACGUAUGCUUAUAAAUUAUCCCUGACGCUAACGUUACUUCGAACCCCACUCAGGAGCCUCGGCAGCUUGGAAUACAAUAGAAUCGAACUGCGGAGGAGGCAUUCAAGACGAUGUACAAGGAAUGAUGAUCAGUUACGUUAGUCACGAGAGUAUAAUGAAACUCCCUUAUACGCGGAUGGUCAGGCCUUGCGAAAGUUUGAAAUAUGAAAAAAAAAACAAGUUGGGAUGAAAAAUAGUGACACAAGGAAAUAAUAAACAGCUGUGUCAGUCACGUAUACACAAUAAAAGUGCCUCCCACGCUUCUACCACUCGCCAGGUUCUUUGAAAGUUUUGAUAACAGUAAAAUAAGUCUCGGAUGAGGUACACAACGUCUUAUAAGGCUUCACUAACACCUGUCAGUCCCCCAAUAGCCUAAAAUCAAGCCCACAGCCCCAUACACGUAACUACAGGACAUGGCGGUCAUCUCCACCAAAACCUUUAUGGCAACAUUAGUUUAGACAUUAGCAUUGUGCAGGAACGUGUUUUCUGGACAUUCCCAAAGGAUGGAGGUUCACAUCAAAGCCCUGCGCGACCUCCUACCGAGAGGAAUAGCCUAACUACAUGAUAUGGCGGUUGUGUCCAUCAAAACCUUUAUUGAAGCAUUAAUUUAGACAUUAGCAUUGUGCUGGAACGUGUUUUCUGGACAUUCCCAAAGGAUGGAGGUUCAUAUCACAGCCCUGCGCGACCUCCUACCGAGAGGAAUAGCCUAACUACAUGAUAUGGCGCCCAUCAAAACCUCCAUAGCAACAUUAAUUUAGACAUCAGCGUAUGAAAGAACGUGUUUUCUGGACAUUCCCAAACGGUGGAGGUUCAUAUCACAGCCCUGCGGGACCUCCCUGGCUCCCAUCACGCGGGGUCGACGGCUGGCUGGCUGGCUAGGGACGCGCGCCUUUUUUUCCGCCCGCCAAACACACUCCCCGCGAAACAGGUCUUGAAAACAGCCACUUCAUGAUUAGCUGUAAUAAAUUAUACGUUCCCCGCCGCGGUAUUGAUGCUCCUCCCCCGUGAAAGGUGUCUUAGCCCAGCGGAGUGACGUCAAGAGUGUAGAAUGGCGCGUGAAGAUAGGGGUGAAGGGUGGGCUAUGGAGGGGACCGGUAAGGUAAGCAAGGGAGUCCAGCCACCUCCAUGCCCACCACCACCACCACUAUGCCUCGAGGGGGAUAUUGGUAGCAUUCGACGGGGUAAAGAAUGACUCGUUUGACCACUAUUGUGACACUUUCUUUUGGCUUCGUCCGCCUGUCUGUUACGUUCGUCCGCGCCCUGUCUCUUCGGUUCGUACUCACACGCUUCCGCCUCUCACGCCAACGAUUUCCAAAGGUCCAAAACGAGAUUAAUCGGGUUUUAGUGCGUGUUAUAUUAGGUUCACGGUACAGAUGAAAGGUCAAAUUAUCACCGGGGUUAUAAAACUACACGUGGAAAGCCUCAAAACUCUUACGAAAGCCUUGCCAAAUAAUUAUGUGAGCGCCGAAAUGCUUAGGCUUAUUCCGCCUCUAUCUCGCAUAAACUAUUUCAAAAGGGCGAAAAUGAGAUUAAUCGGGUUUUAGUGCGUGUUAUAUUAGGUUCACGGUACAGAU
Long non-coding RNA from Eriocheir sinensis (Chinese mitten crab), 2655 nucleotides. RefSeq lists it as uncharacterized. The transcript is spliced from 3 exons. NCBI's taxonomy places the organism in Eukaryota, Metazoa, Arthropoda, Malacostraca, Decapoda, Varunidae. The record is from RefSeq and is a predicted model, not a curated record.